GGUUCCGUAGCUCAGCAGGAUAGAGCAACCGCCUCCUAAGCGGUAGGUCGGCAGUUCGAAUCUGCCCGGGAUCACCA
Molecule: transfer RNA, 77 nt
Filed under: Phascolarctobacterium faecium
Lineage: Bacteria; Bacillati; Bacillota; Negativicutes; Acidaminococcales; Acidaminococcaceae
Also listed under: 5 other names
Description: tRNA-Arg
Rfam family: tRNA
About the family: Transfer RNA (tRNA) molecules are approximately 80 nucleotides in length.
Source: RNAcentral